Molecule: ribosomal RNA, 264 nt
Filed under: uncultured archaeon
Lineage: Archaea
Description: partial 16S ribosomal RNA
Rfam family: Archaeal small subunit ribosomal RNA
Source: RNAcentral
AGACGUCUACAUUAGAUACCCGGGUAGUCCCAGCCGUAAACUAUGCGCGUUAGGUGUAUCGGUGACCACGAGUCACCGAGGUGCCGAAGGGAAACCGUGAAACGUGCCGCCUGGGAAGUACGGUCGCAAGGCUGAAACUUAAAGGAAUUGGCGGGGAGCACCACAACGGGUGGAGCCUGCGGUUUAAUUGGACUCAACGCCGGGAAGCUCACCGGAUAAGACAGCGGAAUGAUUGCCGGGCUGAAGGCUCUGCAUGACUAGCUG